This is a long non-coding RNA of Cygnus olor (mute swan), 6833 nucleotides long. RefSeq lists it as uncharacterized. Lineage: Eukaryota; Metazoa; Chordata; Aves; Anseriformes; Anatidae. The record is from RefSeq and is a predicted model, not a curated record. The transcript has 3 exons.
ACAAGAUUUAAUGACAAAAUACUAAGUUUAAUUGCUAGACUAAAGAUGUGGGUUCAGAGGUCUCUCUACUGUACAGACACAAAAGAGAGCCAUAAGACAAGAUAAUGCAGUUUGGGAUUAUACCUGUCAAUCCACAUUUCCCUCGGUUCCUUUAGUGUCUCGGCUGGCUGAGGAGGACGCAGCCCGGCCUUCCCACGGCAGGGCAUGGCCCCGAGCGCUCACAGCUGCACAGCUCUGAUUGCUCGUCCCUCCUCUGGGGGCUCCAGUUCUCCUGCAGGCCCUCGGCCAGGCUGGGAUUCACAGAACCCCAGAACCACCUAGGCUGGGAAAGACCUUCAAGAGCAUCACGUCCAACCACCAGCCUGACCUACCGAGUCCAUCACUAAAUCACGUCCCCGUGUUCCUCACUCCCCGGCGCUCACUGCUGCAGGGACUUGCCAGCUGGGGCUUGAUGGCACAUAGUGGCACUGGGGACAUCUCUGCCAUCGCCUCCUCCUCCUCCUCCCCAAAGCAUUCGGAUGUGUGAGAAACAAAGCUGUUUUUGCAGAAGAAUGUGUUUUCGCAGUGAUCGUUUCCCACAGAUGUGCCUAUUCUGUGGCUUUUUGAUGAGCCGCCCUUCCAAGGCACUGUAUUUCAUGAAGUCCCUGGCUCUCCACAAACACCCUGUGAGUUUUCUCACUGUCCGUGUACCGGGAGCAGCAGAGGCCAGGCAGCAGCCUGUGAAAGCAGAAUUCGAGCAUCUGGCAGGGCCGACUGCGGCAGCGCUGGGAGCCUCCAUUCCAGGACCAGGUCACGCUGGUGUUUUCCAAAGAGCCUGCGGGAGCUUUGCACACACCACGGAUGUGCCCAAUGUGACACUCAUCCAACAAGCACGUAGCCUGGCAGCUUCGGUGCAUGUUCAAUGCAGCUUUUCUGUCAUGUUGUUAUUAAAGACACAGAAAAUACUGUACUGAAUGAGUCUGAUUUCAGAGCUCUGUUGCUUUGAGGGAAUAGCGAAGCUUUGCUGAAACCUCUGCCUUUUUUAACUUUUGGCACCAAACUGUUGCAGAACAACAGGCAAAUCUUAUACCCACCAUGGGCCUUGAUCUUCUUGUGUGUCAGAAGUGACGGUGUGAUGCCAACUCCUUCAUAUAUCAGCUUUACUCCUUCAUAUAUCAGCUUUACAUCAGCUCUUGAAAAGCCCUGUGCAAGAGCUGAUUGUUCUGAUCACGCCGGGUGUUGUACUAUCGUCUUUUAAAAUUAUCCCUGCUACAAAGAGUUAUGAACUAAUUAAACCAGACAGAUUGAAGAGGGGAAAUAAGACCCUGAGAAGUGUGUGACUUCUCCAGGAGUUUCCCAGAGGGCUUACAACAGAGCUAAGAGUGCUCGGGCCACCCGAACCCCACCAGGAGCAGUGCCAGGGGCACCAUCCUGCCUGGGACCAGGUGUGUGCGAAGCAGGCGUUGGGAGCACACCGGGAGAUCUGCGCUUCAGCUCCGGAGCCAAACAGCAAGGCAUUUCAAAGCACUCCUCUGCUGCGAGCUAAAAUAGACGGCGUUGCUGGGCUGGCUGGGGUAUGGAGGGUGACGUGAAGCAAGCAGUGAUGAGAGGCAGCCGCAGGAGGAAUCGUUUUCUAGUUCCUCUGCACGCUGGUAAAGCUCUGCCAGCCGGCCCAGCCGGGUAAUUGGGAACAGAAUUAAACAGGAGAUGUCCAGGCCAGGGCUGAGUCACAGCCGCGGGUAGCAACGGGCCGGCAGGUGGCACAGGCUGGCUCUGCUGGACCCAGACGCGCUCACCUCUCUGCCCAGCGCUUCCUACAGACCUAGAGCCUGCUGCUUCCACGCACGGGUUGCUCCCUACAGCCACAGGAAAAGAGGAAAACCCUUCGGAUGGAGUAAUUCUUCUUGUUCCUUACGUCUACCAGCACCAGCCAGGCUAACAUCAACAAAUGUCACAGAAAGUUUGGUUUAAGCUCUUAAUAUAUGUCAGCUGUAGCUUGUAAAAGCUGCAUUGGCUUUUUAAGCAAAAUAGCCCCAAGAUAGGUUUUACUGUAAUUGUAUCUUCUACAGUUGGCCUUCAGUUUUCUUCCUAGGACUGCCAAACAGGUAAGGUACCAGAAACAGCGUCCGAGCAGAGGAACUGAGGCUGCUGGGCUGCCCACGGAGCAGGGGCAGGCGGGGAACCUCGGGGGCUGUGGCCAGAUCCACCUGGAGCAGGGCUCCAGCAGGGCUCACGCGCCUGCUCCCGGCUCCUGCAGUUUGUUACCGUGCCACCUGCAGCAGCUGGGCCGGAGCGCGGGGGUCCUGCCCUGCAGGUGAGAGCAACUGGGGCUGCAUCGGGAAGCAGGCAGCAUCGGGAAGGAAGGGGCACAAAGAAAUGCAAGGCUGGGUUUGCUCUGUGCUGCUGCCCUUGGAUCAUGGUAGUAGCACAUCACUGCUCAGCCCCUAAUGCCGAGCUUCUUCUUGCUUUGUUUUUCCCCAGAUAGAAAAUCCGUGUGUCCUUUUGGCAAAAGAUACUUUCCUGCCACUGAAAAGGCCAGUUCUGAAACGCUAAGUGUCCUCUUCUUUUUUUUUUCUGAAGGAGGACAACUUUUAUGUUCACGACAGGGCGCACACAGCUCUUCAAAGGACUGCAGGAGCAGCUGGUCCUGCCCGGGGAGAGAAAUGGGAGCAGGUACCCGAAAUCAAGCCAGGGUGCUCCUGGUCCCACUCCAGACAGGGUGCAGUUUUCCUGAUGUGGUCUGAAGCACCUCACUGUUUUGUCUGGGAACAGUCAUCAACAUUUGAUGAUGUUAAUCAGGUGCGUGUUGGUAGGGAAAUGAGGUAUUUGGAGCGAGUAACCCGGGAGUGCUGUGGCAUGCAGUGACCUGGCCAGAGAGGAGGUGGCCAGCCCAAACCACCUCCUGCUGGGGACUGUACAGCACCUAUAGCACAACGAGAGGUAGGGCUUGGUCUGCGGCUUCUGCAUGCUAUUGCAUGCCCUUUUACACACACGUAUCCGUCUAUAAUGGUUUUACUUCCAUGGUCUUUUACAGAGCGCUGAGAUGUCCCUAAGUCACCGGGCCAUUUCCCCAGCCCUCGCCCCUGUGUGGGGUCCCAGGGAAGAGAGCUCCUGCACACGUUUAUUCCAUUUCUUCCACGCUGAGCAGCCCGCGGUGCUGUCCUCUCUUCCUCUCUGCCACGUGUGCCCUCUGCAGGGUGUGCUGCGGUCUGGUGCACUGCCGCGAUUUUGGAGCAAGAGGAGGGGAGCUGGGACACCCGGUGUGUGUCGUCUGUACCCCAGCAGCUCCGUCACUGCCCACAUCUGCUGCACUCAUUCUGAUGUCACAGUAGUGAGGUAACAGCCAGGGAAGAGGGCCUAGGGCAUUUUUCUCCCGAAAAACACGUGCUUUAGUAUUAACCCAGGGGGCACAGCCUGCCGAGAGCGCUACCUCGACUGGGACUGCUGGCACAGCAGCCAGUGCCCACCCCAGGGGGGUGCCAGGGCUUUACGUGGUCCCUCUGCACGUACGCCCCAGUGCCACAGGCUGCCCCCAAGCUCCCAGACAUGGCUUCAGAACCACGUCAGUGCCCGGGGACAUCCCGGGGACGUCGCUGCCUCUCGCAGCAGCUCAGCACGGAGGCCCGGGCGUGCUCCAGCCGGGCAGCGGGCAGCACCACUGUACAGAUCCUGAUUUAUGGAGUGCAGUCCCUACCUCCCUUCCUCUCUUGAAAUAUGAAGUGUUUGUGAGCAGCCAAGCCAGCUUCAUUGCCAUUCCCCGCUGUGAAAGAAGGAACAACGGUUGUUUGGCUUCAGGAGAAUGGCAAGGUGUAACUGCACAUCUGCAAGGUAAGUUUGGGACUAUCACGGGCUUCUCCUGCCGACACACUGGCAAGUACAGAUCCACACUCCUCCAGCCAUGUGGGGCCUGUCAAGCACCCCUGUUCCUGCCGGAGUCUCCAACACCUUUUAAUCAGAUGUUUAUGAUUGGAUUUUGGGGCUGUGGCAGGACAGGAUGCAGUGGGAUGAACUCUGCCGAGCGCUCACUUAAUUGGAUUCAUCGCUGAAGAAGGGAGCCAAAUGAAACACACGUUUUAUUAGGGCUAACGCUCAGCUUUUGUUGUAAAUGUUUUGAAAAAGAAAACACUUUAAAGCCUCGCAGAGAUACUGCUAUUAAUAUAUCAUCCAAAUAACAAGUGAUUAAAACCAACAACAGCUACUACGAAAAUGUGGCUUUGUAGCACUGGACCGCAUGGGAUGCAGCAGGGAAAAUCAUUAUGAGCACACCAGCAGGGUGCAAUUAGAAAUAAAACCAGCUCUGUACAGGCUACAAAAGCAGCAAUAAUCGGUCCGGUCUGUGGCUUAGUAAGGGCUGAAGCCAUUAACCGACGGUGCUAUUUAUUACCAGAGACAGGGACACGACUGGAUUACGGGGUGCAACUUCAGGAUAAGUCAACAGAGGGAGUUCAGUGCCACCGCGGCCAGGCGAGGCGCAGCCUGCGCAUCCCAGCGAGUGGCUGCCCGCUGCCUCUCCAUCUGUCCGUCUGUCCGUCUGUCUGUCCGUCCAUCCAGCGUGGCCUUCCUGCAGCCCCCAUUACAGCAUGUGAAGGGCUGCUGGCGUUGGAGCAGGCUCCUUGGCUCUGAGCUGCGGGCUCGGAUGGAGUCUCUUUGGUGCUGCCCUGUGGACAGACCCAGCAAGGCUGAGCUCUGCUGGGCUUUGGCACGGGUUUAGCAGCGGGGUUAGUUGGGCUUUGCCCAGCGGGUGCCUCCCCAGCUCACCCAGCAGUCUGCAAACGGCCUCACGGAGCAGCCCGUGCAGCGAGCACAGCCAGGCGGCUCCCGAGCAGCAGCCGCGGGAUGCAGCACAAAUGCCCCUGCAGAUGCUUGGUGACCGCUGGGGACCAGACGUAGCGGGCAGCACACAGAACAGACCCCUUCCCAUCCCCAGACAGGAGCAUCUCCUGCAAGCACUUCUACCUGCAAGCACUUCUCUUCCCACCGCUCAUUUUUAAAGCCAGGAGGGCUGAUCACGAUCAAUCCUGACGUAUCGCCAGCUCCUGCCACCCCUCGGCUCAGUUACAAACGAAGCACACGCAACAAGCUUCAGACAGGGGAGAAGACAUCUCAGUUCCUCCCCCUGCCACAGGGUGACCGUGUGGUCCCGGGCAUCUCGCUUCCCCCGGCUUGCCUCAGUUUCCCCCUGCGCUGGCUGGGAGUUGCUGCUGACGGGUGGCGCGUCCACCAGCGAGCCCUUGGCUGCUCCGGUACGAACCUCGGAGCGAAGCUGAUAAACUCAGCCUGUUCCUUUCCCCGGUCUGGAUGCCGUCCAGCAGCUCCCCUGGAAGCAAGGCGGAAAUGCCUUAAUCACCUCGUUUGCAUCCCCGUUUCAAGUUUAAUUUGAUACAGUGCCUUCUCUCCGCAGCCAAAAAAUCCCAAACAUCUCCCAGCCUUUGUUAGCACCGCAAAUCUUGAUCUUUUUCAUUGCUCAGAAAACAAAAGCCGAGUCCCCGUGCCAGGCACGUCCUGCCAAAUGAGCUCCCACUGCCGUGUGCUGGGCUCUGUCCCGGCAGCCAGCUCCCCCCUGGCAGAGGAUGACCCAUGGCAGAGCCCCCCCUGCCCGGCUCCUGUAGGGUCCAUCCCACCCGGGCUCCAUGCUCUGGUCUCUAUCUCUUCCCUGACCCAGGGGCUCCCAUUUUCCCCAUCCCCUUUUUGGAGGAGGACGAUGGGCAGCUCCGUAGGGUCCCAGUUUAGGCAGGCUGGGAGAAAGACUUUGUUUUCAGUCUCUCAGGGCAAUUCCCUCAGGUCUGUGUUUCUGUUUAAGGAAAAGACAGUCUGGCUACACCUGCAGUUUAUCCUGGUACGAGCGGUGUAUUUUGUGGCACAUAAUUCACGAAAAAUAUAUAUCCAAGGAAAGCCAGUUACAGUAGAAGGUGGUGAAAAAGUGAGCGGUCACCAGGACGGACCUUGCCACGCGCCUUGGGCAGCACUGCGUGAAGUGCAGCAAAACCAGGGGGACAAAACGAUUCCCCAAGCUGCCCUGGUGGUCUCUGGGGCUGCACACUUCUGAGACGCACCGAGACACCCUUUGGGUAUUGCACUCCGCCUCACUUGAUCAUGGUAUCAUGGAAUGGUUUGGGUUGGAAGGGAUUGCCUUGGGCACUGCCAGGGAUGGGGCACCCCCAGCUCCUCGGGCAGCCUGCGCCAGGGCCUCACCGCCCUCUGAGUACAGCAUUUCUUUCUAACAUCUAAUCUAAAUCUCCCUUUUAUACUUUCAAACCAACCCCUCGUGUCCUAUUGCUAUCUGCCCGUUGCUCUCCACCUUUUCUAUAAGCUCAAGUACCAAAAAGCCGCUACAAGGUCUCCCCGGUGCCUUCUCUGUUCCAGCCUGCCCAGCCCCAGCCCUCCACCGAGAGGUGCUCCAGCCUCUGAGCGUCCUCGUGGCCUCCCCUGGCCCCGCUCCAGCACCCCCCUGUCCUUGUGCUGGGGGCCCCCAGGCUGGAUGCAGUGCUGCAGAGGGGGAGAACCCCCUCCGGUGGUGACGGAUGACGCAGGGCUCCUAGAGAAAUGGUACUAAAGGCAUAAAUUAAAUAAAGCUUCUGCAGCUCGGGGGGCAGAGGCAGGUGUCUCCCUCUCCGGGCACCCCUUUUUAGCUCCCGGGCUUCACUAAAGCAGAGGGACCGCGGCAGCAGCUCCCCACCAGCUCCCCAGCCGGCUCCGUGCCUGCCACGCUCAGAGCACCGGCUGCAUCCCUUUGGAGCCAUCAGCAGCAGUGCUCAAACAAGCGUUUGCAAACAAAAACUCGCGGAGGCUCAGGGAACACGCAGGAUCGUCACAGAGCGGUUGAACGCACCGACCUGAGCCCGCAGAGCCCGCUG